This 253-nucleotide ribosomal RNA is filed under the name uncultured bacterium. RNAcentral's name for it is "partial 16S ribosomal RNA". It matches the Rfam family "Bacterial small subunit ribosomal RNA", at positions 524 to 776 of the family's 1533-position model. The record is from RNAcentral.
UACGGAGGGUGCAAGCGUUAUCCGGAUUCACUGGGUUUAAAGGGUGCGUAGGUGGGUCUGUAAGUCCGUGGUGAAAUCUCCGAGCUUAACUUGGAAACUGCCAUGGAUACUAUAGAUCUUGAAUACUGUGGAGGCUAGCGGAAUAUGUCAUGUAGCGGUGAAAUGCUUAGAUAUGACAUAGAACACCAAUUGCGAAGGCAGCUGGCUACACAAAUAUUGACACUGAGGCACGAAAGCGUGGGGAUCAAACAGG